This 253-nucleotide ribosomal RNA is filed under the name uncultured bacterium. RNAcentral describes it as "partial 16S ribosomal RNA". It matches the Rfam family "Bacterial small subunit ribosomal RNA", at positions 524 to 776 of the family's 1533-position model. The record is from RNAcentral.
UACGUAGGUGGCAAGCGUUGUCCGGAUUUACUGGGCGUAAAGAGCGCGCAGGCGGUCGUACAAGUCGCGUGUGAAAGCCCCCGGCUCAACUGGGGAGGGUCACGCGAUACUGUUCGACUCGAAGGCAGGAGAGGGAAGCAGAAUUCCCGGUGUAGUGGUGAAAUGCGUAGAUAUCGGGAGGAAUACCAGUGGCGAAGGCGGCUUCCUGGCCUGUUCUUGACGCUGAGGAGCGAAAGCGUGGGGAGCAAACAGG